RNAcentral lists this ribosomal RNA (1579 nucleotides) under Priestia megaterium. Its description in RNAcentral is "bacterial SSU rRNA". It matches the Rfam family "Bacterial small subunit ribosomal RNA". The record is from RNAcentral. Lineage: Bacteria; Bacillati; Bacillota; Bacilli; Caryophanales; Bacillaceae.
GGGUUGGGGGGCGGGGGCGUUUAUAUAUAUGGGGUUUCCCCCGUCAGGAUGAACGCUGGCGGCGUGCCUAAUACAUGCAAGUCGAGCGAACUGAUUAGAAGCUUGCUUCUAUGACGUUAGCGGCGGACGGGUGAGUAACACGUGGGCAACCUGCCUGUAAGACUGGGAUAACUCCGGGAAACCGGAGCUAAUACCGGAUAACAUUUUCUCUUGCAUAAGAGAAAAUUGAAAGAUGGUUUCGGCUAUCACUUACAGAUGGGCCCGCGGUGCAUUAGCUAGUUGGUGAGGUAACGGCUCACCAAGGCAACGAUGCAUAGCCGACCUGAGAGGGUGAUCGGCCACACUGGGACUGAGACACGGCCCAGACUCCUACGGGAGGCAGCAGUAGGGAAUCUUCCGCAAUGGACGAAAGUCUGACGGAGCAACGCCGCGUGAGUGAUGAAGGCUUUCGGGUCGUAAAACUCUGUUGUUAGGGAAGAACAAGUACAAGAGUAACUGCUUGUACCUUGACGGUACCUAACCAGAAAGCCACGGCUAACUACGUGCCAGCAGCCGCGGUAAUACGUAGGGGACAAACGUUAUCCGGAAUAAUGCGGCGUAAAGCGCGCGCAGGCGGUUUCUUAAGUCUGAUGUGAAAGCCCACGGCUCAACCGUGGAGGGUCAUUGGAAACUGGGGAACUUGAGUGCAGAAGAGAAAAGCGGAAUUCCACGUGUAGCGGUGAAAUGCGUAGAGAUGUGGAGGAACACCAGUGGCGAAGGCGGCUUUUUGGUCUGUAACUGACGCUGAGGCGCGAAAGAACGCCCAGCAAACAGGAUUAGAUACCCUGGUAGUCCACGCCGUAAACGAUGAGUGCUAAGUGUUAGAGGGUUUCCGCCCUUUAGUGCUGCAGCUAACGCAUUAAGCACUCCGCCUGGGGAGUACGGUCGCAAGACUGAAACUCAAAGGAAUUGACGGGGGCCCGCACAAGCGGUGGAGCAUGUGGUUUAAUUCGAAGCAACGCGAAGAACCUUACCAGGUCUUGACAUCCUCUGACAACUCUAGAGAUAGAGCGUUCCCCUUCGGGGGACAGAGUGACAGGUGGUGCAUGGUUGUCGUCAGCUCGUGUCGUGAGAUGUUGGGUUAAGUCCCGCAACGAGCGCAACCCUUGAUCUUAGUUGCCAGCAUUAAGUUGGGCACUCUAAGGUGACUGCCGGUGACAAACCGGAGGAAGGUGGGGAUGACGUCAAAUCAUCAUGCCCCUUAUGACCUGGGCUACACACGUGCUACAAUGGAUGGUACAAAGGGCUGCAAGACCGCGAGGUCAAGCCAAUCCCAUAAAACCAUUCUCAGUUCGGAUUGUAGGCUGCAACUCGCCUACAUGAAGCUGGAAUCGCUAGUAAUCGCGGAUCAGCAUGCCGCGGUUGAAUACGUUCCCGGGCCUUGUACACACCGCCCGUCACACCACGAGAGUUUGUAACACCCGAAGUCGGGUGGGGUAACCUUUAUGGAGCCAGCCGCCUAAGGUGGGACAGAUGAUUGGGUGACUACAACCAGCCCGCCCCCCGAAAAAAAAAAAAAAAAAGAAAGCGGCAAUAAUCG